UCCCCGAUGGUGUAAUGGUAACACACCGGUUUUUGGUGCCGUUAUUUCAGGUUCGAGUCCUGGUCGGGGAACAA
RNAcentral lists this transfer RNA (74 nucleotides) under Flavobacteriales bacterium. RNAcentral describes it as "tRNA-Gln". It matches the Rfam family "tRNA". Rfam says of the family: Transfer RNA (tRNA) molecules are approximately 80 nucleotides in length. Their secondary structure includes four short double-helical elements and three loops (D, anti-codon, and T loops). The record is from RNAcentral. Lineage: Bacteria; Pseudomonadati; Bacteroidota; Flavobacteriia; Flavobacteriales. RNAcentral also lists the same sequence under 1 other name.